CUUGACCUCAAAUCAGGUAGGACUACCCGCUGAACUUAAGCAUA
Molecule: ribosomal RNA, 44 nt
Filed under: Tilletia caries (wheat bunt fungus)
Lineage: Eukaryota; Fungi; Basidiomycota; Exobasidiomycetes; Tilletiales; Tilletiaceae
Also listed under: 1 other name
Description: partial 28S ribosomal RNA
Source: RNAcentral